GAUGAACGCUGGCGGCGUGCCUAGUACAUGCAAGUCGAGCGAACAGACGAGGAGCUUGCUCCUCUGACGUUAGCGGCGGACGGGUGAGUAACACGUGGAUAACCUACCUAUAAGACUGGGAUAACUUCGGGAAACCGGAGCUAAUACCGGAUAAUAUAUUGAACCGCAUGGUUCAAUAGUGAAGGACGGUUUUGCUGUCACUUAUAGAUGGAUCCGCGCCGCAUUAGCUAGUUGGUAAGGUAACGGCUUACCAAGGCGACGAUGCGUAGCCGACCUGAGAGGGUGAUCGGCCACACUGGAACUGAGACACGGUCCAGACUCCUACGGGAGGCAGCAGUAGGGAAUCUUCCGCAAUGGGCGAAAGCCUGACGGAGCAACGCCGCGUGAGUGAUGAAGGUCUUCGGAUCGUAAAACUCUGUUAUUAGGGAAGAACAAAUGUGUAAGUAACUAUGCACGUCUUGACGGUACCUAAUCAGAAAGCCACGGCUAACUACGUG
RNAcentral lists this ribosomal RNA (497 nucleotides) under uncultured bacterium. RNAcentral's name for it is "partial 16S ribosomal RNA". It matches the Rfam family "Bacterial small subunit ribosomal RNA", at positions 28 to 507 of the family's 1533-position model. The record is from RNAcentral.